GUCAGCACUUGUCACAUGCAAUCUCUGCCCUCAACGAAGCUCAGAACUCGAAGCGUAAAUUUUGGAUAUUAAAGAGGCCUCUGCUUUAUCGAGACGUGUCAGCAUCUGUCAAUUUGCACAUCUGCGUUGCGUAAAUCACGCGCAAUCUGUCAAAAAUUUUUGGAGAAGCGGAAUGCACGUGAAAACUACUGUUAAAUUAUCCCAGG
This 206-nucleotide long non-coding RNA is filed under the name Malus domestica (apple). RNAcentral describes it as "long non-coding RNA (MDOM_LNC018772)". The record is from RNAcentral. Lineage: Eukaryota; Viridiplantae; Streptophyta; Magnoliopsida; Rosales; Rosaceae.